Molecule: ribosomal RNA, 253 nt
Filed under: uncultured bacterium
Lineage: Bacteria
Description: partial 16S ribosomal RNA
Rfam family: Bacterial small subunit ribosomal RNA
Source: RNAcentral
UACGUAGGGUGCGAGCGUUGUCCGGAAUUAUUGGGCGUAAAGAGCUUGUAGGCGGUCUGUCGCGUCUGCUGUGAAAAUCCAGGGCUUAACCCUGGACCUGCAUCGGGUACGGGCAGACUAGAGUGCGGUAGGGGAGAUCGGAAUUCCUGGUGUAGCGGUGAAAUGCGCAGAUAUCAGGAGGAACACCGGUGGCGAAGGCGGAUCUCUGGGCCGUAACUGACGCUGAGGAGCGAAAGCAUGGGGAGCGAACAGG